RNAcentral lists this ribosomal RNA (272 nucleotides) under uncultured prokaryote. RNAcentral's name for it is "partial 16S ribosomal RNA". It matches the Rfam family "Bacterial small subunit ribosomal RNA", at positions 524 to 794 of the family's 1533-position model. The record is from RNAcentral.
UACGUAGGUGGCAAGCGUUGUCCGGAUUUAUUGGGCGUAAAGGGAGCGCAGGCGGUGACUUAAGUCUGAUGUGAAAGCCCACGGCUCAACCGUGGAAGGUCAUUGGAAACUGGGUCACUUGAAUAUAGAAGAGGAAAGUGGAAUUCCAUGUGUAGCGGUGAAAUGCGUAGAUAUAUGGAGGAACACCAGUGGCGAAGGCGACUUUCUGGUCUGUAACUGACACUGAGGCGCGAAAUCGUGGGGAGGCAAACAGGAUUAGAUACCCGGGUAGU